GUAGGUGAACCUGCGGAAGGAUCAUUAAUAAAUGCUUCAUUGCAUCCACCUUUUGUGCACUGUAAAUAUUUCACUUGAAUUUUGUCUGAUUAAUCUUUGUUCUGAAAGGAACAUGAAUUAUAAUCUAAUACAACUUUUAACAAUGGAUCUCUUGGCUCUCGCAUCGAUGAAGAACGCAGCAUCUGACUGACUAAUACACUGUCCA
Molecule: unclassified non-coding RNA, 205 nt
Filed under: plant metagenome
Description: partial contains small subunit ribosomal RNA, internal transcribed spacer 1, and 5.8S ribosomal RNA
Rfam family: 5.8S ribosomal RNA (bases 132-205)
Source: RNAcentral